RNAcentral lists this ribosomal RNA (453 nucleotides) under Streptococcus mitis. RNAcentral's name for it is "bacterial SSU rRNA". It matches the Rfam family "Bacterial small subunit ribosomal RNA", at positions 28 to 467 of the family's 1533-position model. Lineage: Bacteria; Bacillati; Bacillota; Bacilli; Lactobacillales; Streptococcaceae. The record is from RNAcentral.
GACGAACGCUGGCGGCGUGCCUAAUACAUGCAAGUAGAACGCUGAAGGAGGAGCUUGCUUCUCUGGAUGAGUUGCGAACGGGUGAGUAACGCGUAGGUAACCUGCCUGGUAGCGGGGGAUAACUAUUGGAAACGAUAGCUAAUACCGCAUAAUAGUAGAUGUUGCAUGACAUUUGCUUAAAAGGUGCAAUUGCAUCACUACCAGAUGGACCUGCGUUGUAUUAGCUAGUUGGUGAGGUAACGGCUCACCAAGGCGACGAUACAUAGCCGACCUGAGAGGGUGAUCGGCCACACUGGGACUGAGACACGGCCCAGACUCCUACGGGAGGCAGCAGUAGGGAAUCUUCGGCAAUGGACGGAAGUCUGACCGAGCAACGCCGCGUGAGUGAAGAAGGUUUUCGGAUCGUAAAGCUCUGUUGUAAGAGAAGAACGAGUGUGAGAGUGGAAAGUUCAC